Molecule: ribosomal RNA, 1016 nt
Filed under: uncultured bacterium
Lineage: Bacteria
Description: bacterial SSU rRNA
Rfam family: Bacterial small subunit ribosomal RNA
Source: RNAcentral
GUAAUACGUAGGUGGCAAGCGUUGUCCGGAUUUAUUGGGCGUAAAGCGAGCGCAGGCGGUUUUUUAGGUCUGAUGUGAAAGCCUUCGGCUUAACCGGAGAAGUGCAUCGGAAACCGGGAGACUUGAGUGCAGAGGAGGACAGUGGAACUCCAUGUGUAGCGGUGAAAUGCGUAGAUAUAUGGAAGAACACCAGUGGCGAAGGCGGCUGUCUGGUCUGCAACUGACGCUGAGGCUCGAAAGCAUGGGUAGCGAACAGGAUUAGAUACCCUGGUAGUCCAUGCCGUAAACAAUGAGUGCUAAGUGUUGGAGGGUUUCCGCCCUUCAGUGCUGCAGCUAACGCAUUAAGCACUCCGCCUGGGGAGUACGACCGCAAGGUUGAAACUCAAAGGAAUUGACGGGGGCCCGCACAAGCGGUGGAGCAUGUGGUUUAAUUCGAUGCUACGCGAAGAACCUUACCAGGUCUUGACAUCUUCUGCUAACCUAAGAGAUUAGGCGUUCCCUUCGGGGACGGAAUGACAGGUGGUGCAUGGUUGUCGUCAGCUCGUGUCGUGAGAUGUUGGGUUAAGUCCCGCAACGAGCGCAACUCUUAUUGUCAGUUGCCAGCAUUUAGUUGGGCACCCUGGCGAGACUGCCGGUGACAAACCGGAGGAAGGUGGGGAUGACGUCAAAUCAUCAUGCCCCUUAUGACCUGGGCUACACACGUGCUACAAUGGACGGUACAACGAGUCGCGAAACCGCGAGGUCAAGCUAAUCUCUGAAAGCCGUUCUCAGUUCGGAUUGCAGGCUGCAACUCGCCUGCAUGAAGUUGGAAUCGCUAGUAAUCGUGGAUCAGCAUGCCACGGUGAAUACGUUCCCGGGCCUUGUACACACCGCCCGUCACACCAUGAGAGUUUGUAACACCCAAAGCCGGUGAGGUAACCUUCGGGAACCAGCCGUCUAAGGUGGGACAGAUGAUUAGGGUGAAGUCGUAACAAGGUAGCCGUAGGAGAACCUGCGGCUGGAUCACCUCCUUUCUA